This 207-nucleotide long non-coding RNA is filed under the name Capsicum annuum. Its description in RNAcentral is "long non-coding RNA (CANN_LNC006559)". Lineage: Eukaryota; Viridiplantae; Streptophyta; Magnoliopsida; Solanales; Solanaceae. The record is from RNAcentral.
CACGUACAUCGCUAUUUAUGAUUGUAGGAUUCACCUUUUCCCUAGAAUGCAUUAGAUAACUAAUAAUCACGUCGCUCGGCCCGCAAUCUAGGUUCCCCCUCUGCAUUACACUUGCAACGAAUUCUUCAUACGAACUAUUGCAGCGAAUAGAAAUGGGAAUUGUCACCUUGGUAAAUGAUUUCCAUUCCCAACAUUUGGGAGUCUCCA